GUUCUUUUUGUUGGUAUGCAAUUAUCAUCACAUGGCAGUAGUGUUAACAUUUGUUGAUGAACUAUGUUCGCUUCAUUUUUUUUUUUAAGGUUCAUGAAUCGUUAAUUUGUUUGAUUCAAUCAACCCUGAUUCCCAAUGAGUUUGAUUCAAUCAUGGCUUAAAAAUCAAACCAUCCGGACGGUGAAUCAAACCUUUCGACUCAAUCACGGUGAAUCAAACACCAGUCUGGACAUAAGACUUUAACUUUUUUCCCUUUCCAGGGCCUUACCUGUUCCUAUGACGUCAUUUGGAAGCAAUAAUGUGGUAUCUUGAAAGUGCGGGAUAUGUCACGCGCAAUUUAGUAUCUAUAAAACCAUGGCAAAAAUUGUCUUACCAAAGUUUAAGUAAAUCGGUGAUGUCACACAUUAAGAGGGGGCAUCUAAGUGCAUUAGCCCCUCUGAAUCCAAAGUGCUGCAACUUUGAAUCUAAAUAUUUUCGAUCUAAGGCAUUUCUCGAUGUUGCGAGUGCCGAAACCGGUGAUUUCCAGCCAAGGACCCCAAUUUGGGUAUCUCAACUCAAAACUAAUGUUAACGUGCCUCCCACCUUAACAUUAGAUUUGAGUUGAGAUAGCCAAAAUGGGGUCCCUGGCUCACAAUUACCAGUUUCGGCACUCACAACAUCGAUAAAUGCCUUAAAUCGGAAAUAUUGAAUUUCAAAAUUGCAGCAAUUUGAUUCAGAAGGGCUAAUGCAUAGGAAUACCCCUCUGAAUGUGUGACGUCAGCGCAGAUAUCUAACGAAUUUUAAAUGUUUGACUAAAACGUUUUGUAGCACGUGGUGGUAUAUGUUGCUUUGAGCUGCCAAACUAUUGCUUCCAAAUAAAGUCGCUAGGAACAGCGGAGAUCCCAAAAAGUAAACAAAAGUAAAAGUCCAAUAUCUUGAAAACCGGUGAAUAUUUUUCGGUGAAAUUUGGUAGAUAUUCGUUUUCGCUCUUUCUGAACCGAGCGACAUCACUUUUAUGCCAAUUCAUAAACUUUUUUGAAGGUGGGAGGGUCCCUUUAAUCGUAUUUGUGUAAAUUAACGUAUUCUGUCAAAUACCGGCGUCCUAUUUUUGUGCCGUCCAUUCUUAAAAUCAUCAGUUCACUUGCAGACGAUGAUUAGAAGCUUUGCUUCCAAUGGAAUGCACGAAGCAAUGACUGCAUAAUGCAUUCUUUGUUUUAAAAACAAAACUGUGCAAUAAAAAUUGCACAAAACUUGUUCGAUAUCUAAUCUACCUUUGGUGGCUUCAGCUUACCUGACAGUUCAUUUAUGUAUCCACAUUGCUAGGAAGCAUAUCAUCCGUCUAAUCCAAACAUAAACUAUUCUCGUUGUUGAAACUGGUGACGCACAAGCUGACGUAACGUUAGUGGAGACUUCAUCUCAAAAAACAGCCUGCAUGGGCUAAAAUCCCGGGGGGCGCGUAUGGCUCGUAUCAUUUGCGAGGCACGCGACGGGAGCCUUGAGGAGCUUUCCAUGCUAAAGCGCCUCUAAACCCAGGUCUCACUUGGAGAUCGAUCUCACUCGGAGAUCAUGAGUCUGUUGUAGAGUGGCGUCAUUUUACGUCCAGUCCACCGAACCAGUGUGCACAAUUGCUGGCGGUGGAUACCAGACUCCCCCCACGGGUCGUCAUGUGCGAGGCAAGGUCGGGGAUAAGAUAUCACGGCAGCAAUUGAAGAUAAAAUUGAGAUUCUUUAUGUAAAUGCUAUUAGGCUGCUACAUUUGCACAAUGAGUGAGUGCAAAGCUUCUCUUUAAUUGAUAUUUUUCAUUAUUCAAGCAUACUAUUACCUAAUACGUCUGAGUCUACAUUCACUUUAUCCACGAAAAUGCUUCAAAAUCGCAUUUUUCGUCGGUAAAUAGCAUUGUAACCUUGCGUCAGUUGACACACGCUUUCACUGCCGCAUCCGGACUCUCUGUGCAUAUUUGUCUAUGCAUCAUGAGCUUAAGUAUUGUUUCCUUUUUCGUUAGAUCAAGCUUCAACUUCUAGCGCUUAAUCGCUCAUGCCAAGCAAAGUUUGCGGACUUGUUAAAGGUUAAAAGAAAAUAUAUUUCCUUCAACAGAUGUCUAUAAAAUGAGGCUGCAAAUGAGCGGUUUUCUUCUGGCAAUUAUGGUACUAUAGCACGUUGCUGAUGGAAGGCGGUCAAGAAAAAGAUUAUUUGCAGUUGUGCCUCAUCGUCACUUAUUUGCCAAAUGAAAUUUCAAUUGCUGCUGUUAUCCCCGGCUAUAGUGUCUACGGUGGCGAGCUUUCUCCGCGGACCUUCAACUUCAAGACCUUCUACUUCAAGACCUUCAACUUCUAGACAACUAAAGGGAUAUUCUCGUCAUACUGUACUCUCGAUGACGUGCAUGUCGGGUCAUCGACAUGCAUGUUCAAUACCAUUAGUGCACAUGCUGCACCAGACUAUAUUUACGGACGUUGACUGUUUGCUUUAGGCACUGUUUCAAGCAUUGUACGAUGGCCGAUAACAAAAGUAUUUGUUAACGUUUUCAAGUUCCAUUCGGAGUAUCCGAAACUACGACGCAAUGUUAGUCGGAACUAACGUAUCUAGUUAAUCAGGUUAUCGCAUGAUGUUCUUGCUCAUUGGCAAACAUUAUUUCAGCAGUCGAUACGUCCUCCAAACUUCAGUAACUGUUUCUAUAGUCCCCGUUCGUCACAAACAACCGUUGACAUUUCGUCAACCUUAAAUUCGAAUAUAUUAACCGUUUAGACGCACGAGAAUAUCCCUUUAUCCAAACUAGCUAGUGUGUCUACUGUUUUCUUACUAGGCAAACAAAAGUUUGUCACAGCAUGUGCGCAGUUCACUUUACCUAUGUGCAUUUAUACUAAAAGCCAUUCGUCCACAAGCAAUGCAUUUGCGCUAUUGACGCAAGCUUUCAUGAAGGCCAAACCAAUGCUGAUUCGUCAAUGCUGAUCGUCAGCUUGAAAGUAAAGAUGAGCAAAGUGGUUCAACUGAAUCUUAUGGUUGCAGUAGGGCAUAUUAGACGUAAGUGACAAGUAUGUGUCAGCAAUUGCUUAUGCUUCUUAACCCUAGAAAAUUUUUAUUCAAUCCUUUUGGUGAUGACGUAAUGUGACAGAAAACAGUAGACACACUUAACCUCAUCGGGAACCCUGAAUGUAUGGAAUUUUUGAGCAUAGGUGCCUGUGAGUGUGUAAGGGUGGAUGUGGGUGUGUGAGUAUGUAUGUGCGUAUGUGAGGGUGUGCGUAUGUGUCAUCUUACACGUAAUUUAGUGAAUGAGUGCAUAGGUACUAGCUUCCAAGUAAAUACGUGGAUGAGUGCGUGUAGUCAGUGGUGUAUGGAACUCGCAUUGUGCCUGCCUGCUGCCAACGAAAUAUGCAAGCCCACACAGAGAAAACAGUUUUGUUGUGCGAAACUUCAUGCUGCUGGCAGGAUUUACAUGCAAGUCACAUAUUGCAGGUCUACCAUAAGCAGAGCGAUGUGUCAUCUGAUAGGUAACUCACAACAACACAUACUCUGCAUGUCCAGGGAAAGUGAGUUGUGCUCGGAACAGAUUGGCCAGACAGUUUUGUCCUAUCAAAUUCAGAAUUGUUUCAUCCUCCUCACAGUUGCCAUUAACAUCAGGAGCACACAUUAUUGCUAGAUCUGAAUGCCAGCUACCUAUUGCACUGCUGGCACGUAGUUGGAGACAAAGGUGCCGCCAGUUUUCCAGCUCGCUGUUGAUACAAUGCAAUACUGGUACAAAAUGUCCGUAUUCUGUGUUUUUAGUGUUGUAUGUUUGUAUAUGAGUCUUGCGUCGUAUGAACAUUACGUACAUGAGUUUAAAGUGUUCCCGCGAAAGUAGGUACUGAAUUAGCUCACGCCAGGAUUGCGUUGCGGAGAUAUUUGUAGCCCAUACAAUGUUUUAUGGCGUCAUUUACGACACUUUCUGUUUUUCUUGUCAUUGUAUGCACGUGAGUAGUGCCGCAUGUUGCGCUUGCAAAUCAUGUUCUCAAUGCCAUUUUCUUUUGGUACAAUUGGUCACCACUACAUAUCACUCGCAUACACACGCCCAAGCAAGUCCGAUAUCAAUCACUGUCCAGAAGUGCAUGAUGCAUUCAACCACGCAUAGAACACUGGCACACCAAGAACAUGAACUCACGCAAAAACGAGAGGACUAUUACACGACUUCGCAUUGGACACACCGCUAUCACACACAACUACAUCAUCACAAGAAGCCCGAGACCGAAAUGCAACACCUGCAACACUUUCAUCACUGUCAAACAUCUGCUACUCACAUGCCCACAAUACCAACACCACAGGACAAACAUACAAACAUACUGCAGAGACGCCAACAUCCCACUAACACUCACAACACUGCUCGGGGACUUACACCCCGAGCUAACAACACUACUCAUCCACUACAUACACAACACUGGGCUGAUAAAUGACCUGUAAAUCUCCUCCCCUAGAGCCAAGGACAAAAAAGCCAAAAAAAGCCAAAAAAGAAGCCAAAAAGAAAAAAAACAUUCAAAACAAUGAGAAUCAAAAUAAAAGACCCCAGAAUGGCAAAAUGGCAAAAAAAAAACAAAAAAAAACAAACAAAAAAUAAUAAUAGAAGGGGCAAUCCGGCUACCCGGGAGGAGAUAGCUAGGAACCCUGACCCACCCCUCAGCCCACCCUUACGAGCCAAGAAGACGACGGACACUUCAAGACAAUGGACGGACCAACAACGAAGACGGACGACAGAACCGGGCCCAAAUACAGAACGCUGUGGUGGCCCGUAAGCCACAAAUACCAUACCAUACCAUACCAGUGCAUCAUGCAGCAGAAGAAGCUUCAUUGAACACACUCGUCAUCAUGAACGGCAUCUUAGGAGCUUCAUGAGUUUGGAUCUGUGAACAGUAAGUGGAAUGGGAGCAUAAUGGUACACGCUACCAAACCAGAUUUUUUAUAAACAAAAACAUUACGUUUAUUACCGUUUGGAGGUGAUUUGUUUUAUUUGGUCAUUGUGUCAAUGUCAUGUUUGAUCAUAUAGGUAACGAAAAGCGUACCUAUUCAAAACGUUUAUUCUUUGUCAUGAUGUGCCUGCAGGUUGUUUUCGCAGUAUCCAAUAGCAACCGUGUAUGACCAGGCGCCCCUUGGACGCCUUGUCUAGCCCCGUCUUCCGGGACUGUGUGAUGACUGCCUUUGCAAUCUCAAGUGCCAGUUUCUGCCUCCGGCCUAUUUCUUUAUCAAAGGAUGUUGGUAACUGAACGACCAGCUCUGCUCCAAGAUUCCAAAUCGUUUUACGGUAUUUUAUGCCUACAAAACGUUAAUAUUUGCUGGACGCGUUGAUGCCCGAAUAGGAUGACCUUUAUUCCUAGAUACAGGCAUUCAACGUUGAAUCAAUUACGCUUCUAGCCUUCUGUUUAUUGGCUUUACAUACUUUUUAUUAAUAUUUAUCAUGUGUCUAGCCUGCAAUUCAUUUUACUCACCACCAUCGGACGUUACAACUAUAAGCUUAUAACUACUAUAUACAACUAUAAGCUAUAAGCAGCUAUUCGCUGACUUGACAUAUGAUAUUUUCGCGACGACUCGUUUCGCCCUUCCGCCAUGUUAACUAAUCAUCCGUUACAUCUUUAUGUCAACAGGUAUAGUACAAGUCAUCCUUACCGUCGAUACCGUAGAAGAAUUUGCCGUCGACCACGGAAAACAUAUUGUGCUUCCCGUUGCUGGUAAUUUUGUAUUUGUCACUUAGGUGACAGUUACUAUAGUUCGUUUUCUUUUUAAAGUUCGGCCCUGACUGUAAACAUCUUUUUGAACACAGCACGAGAAUUACUGAGAAAAUUGGUUAGCGCCCAUUGAUACCGUUGUGUUAAACGCGGUGCGAUUUAUUAAUUAGUUCAGUUAUUACUCCUGACAAAUCGUCUAUCCCUGUGGGGUUGUAAAUAUGAGCAAAUACGAGCUGAGGGGUCUGGGAAAUAGGAGCCAGAAAGAAAUAACUUUGAUAAAGUUUUUCAUCAGUGAAAUUCAACGUGCGACAACCAUUUUCCUCUUCUUAGUAAUUCAGCUAGCAAUUCUCGUGCUGUGUUCGAAGAGACGUUUACAGUGAGGGUCGAACUUAGGACGAACUAUGGCACCUAUCAGCAGAUAUACGUUCAUAAUGCAACAAGGGAACGAAAAGCGUGUUCAAAACUUAAACUCAUUGUCCUUAUGUGCCUGCAGGUUGUUUUCGCAGUAUCCAAUGGCAACCGUGUAUGACCAAGCGCCGCUUGGACGCCUGGACGCCUCGCCCAGCCACGUCUUCCGGGACUGUGUGAUGACUGCCUCUGCACUCACAAGUGCCAGUUUCUGCCUCCGGCUUAUUUCUUUAUCAAAGGAUGUUGGUAACUGAACGACCAGCUCUGCUCCAGGAUUCCAAAUCGUUUUACGGUACCUUGUCCAUCACCAUCAAGAGAUCAACAUUUUUGCAGGCACUUACGUACGGCUGUAGUGUCCGGCGCGAUGCUGAAUGCGACCUGUUAUCUGUUGGAUCUACUCUGUGAGCCCAGACCCCAGUGCAAACCAGUCCGGGCCAUCGGCUGGCCGUGUCAGUCGCUCCGGAGGGCUGUUCGGGUCCCUGCAGCAUAGAUCUGUGCUGCGUGCGUCAUACCUUGGUGACGUCAGCCGACUGGCUCCGCCCACUCUCCGCCGGCACGCAGCGGCCGAGCGUCGCUGUCGCACCCCAUGGUGACCAACAACGGACUCUGCUGCUCGAUUGGCUGUUCUCCAAUGAAGACAACCACUGGAGAGCGCUCAACAUCCAGCUCAAAAUGGUCUCCUGUGUGGUCGAGACCGGUCUUUUCGUCUACAUGGCCGUGCAUCAUCUUCGGCGGGCUGUACGGCACUGAGCAGCUGUUCGGAGACUGGACAGAGCUGAGGAGCUGCACUGAGCACUGUGCUUGGGACGUUACUGAGCCGCACUAAGUAUCUGCACAAUCCGGACCGAGCCGCUCUGAAGGCGGGUCGCUACUUCAACCGUUAUUGGACUCUCUCCCAGCGCCGCAGCCGCCGGGCCCUCCACACAGUGGUCGGUUCGCACAGCCCUCACACAGUGUCUGGAGACGGCGAACGGCUCUGUGAGAAGGAGAACUGUAAAGGAGGCCACUUCAGUGUUUAAGUGGUGUUCUUGUGGUCUAAAAAUUACCAGCUUUAAAUGGCGUCGCUCCCAAAUAAAUACCAGUGUUCUGGGCAAAUUCAGCAGUUAAGCUAAUUUGUUCUCAUUCGAUGUCCGGAAUGUCGACUUCUUUGUUUUAAUGUCUCGAACCGAUCAUGACGUUGCUGUCCAACGCUCAUGAGAUAGAGAUGGACCCGAUCGGCUACGAGACCGAGUAUUUGUUCUCAUUCGAUGUCCGAAAUGUCGACUUCCUUGUUUAAAUGUCUCGAACCGAUCAUGACGUUGCUGUCCAACGCUCAUGAGAUAGAGAUGGACCUGAUCGGCUACGAGACCGAGAUGGACAACUUUGUCGUUUCGGGCGUCUGCAAUGAGCAAAUGUACGGCAUGUGCGAGCCGCUCUGGGAGCCCGAUCUCGAGCCGGACGAUCUGUUCGAGACCAUCGCUCAGGCGUUUAUCAACGGCUUCGACCGUAACGCCGGCACUGGCUGGGAUGCCAUCGUACACGUGAUUGAGAAGGAGAACACCGACGUCCGACAUGGUGGCCUCUCAAAUCAACGUUCUUGAGGAAUGGAGGCUGCUGUUGCGCGCUCCAAGGGCGGUGUUAGCCAUCAGACAGCGCAUUAGGCUCUCAGUGACUGGCAUGGGCUUGGGAAUUCAGGGGCCUUCAUAGGCGCUCAGAUAUAUACCUAUAUAUGUACGCUCUUAGACCGGUGUCGGGUCCUCCAAGGAAGUAGUUAAAGGAAAGCGCAGGGAUUUAGGAGUCGUUGUAGGGAUUUGAAAACCCUGCCAUCAUAUAGCAAUAUGGAGUCCUUAGAGACUGCCAUUCAGUCUCUGUGAUUAGAGUGUGACCUAGCUUGAUCUGAAAAUGGGUAUCAAAAUGCUGGACUUGAAUCAAAGGUCAGGUUAUGGGGAUCCUGUACGAGUUGUGACUUGUAGAUCUCCUAUCUGUAGCAACCUGCAUUCAGAGCCCUGUGCAGAUUAUUGCAGAUUACCUCAGAACGGUGUGAGGCUGCUUAGACUAGUAUGGUGCUCGUGUAGGGAUCAUCUAUGCGAUUUGUCAUUUCAUGUUUUCAUUUAUAUUGUCACCGCGUUAUUAAUCAAUCAAUUGCUGUCAAUCGAUUGUUAUCAACCUCUUGUCAAUUGUGCGUCAAGUUUGUUUGUUAUUUGUAAACCGGCCUGCCGCUGACGUCAGCCUUCAUGGGCCCUGUUAUACCGCCCGACGCUGCGCGCGCUGCAGCGCGCUGGGAGCUGAGGCAUACCCCUGACGUCACUCGAAUGACGUUACGUGCGAUCCGUCACCUUAUGGUAAAUCGCGUUUUGAACAGAGACCUUCAAGAACCUAGUACCAAUUGAACAGAAGUUUGAGUGCGAAUACUGCUAGCGUGUGGAUGGUUCUGGCGCCGCGGUGCUAGCGUUUUGCGAUGACGUCAUAGCGUAGCGUCAGAGGGAAGUUUGUUGAUAUUGCCAUGGAAACCCAAUGCGCCGACGCGCGCAGCGCACUGCACAAGGCCCUAUAUACCCAUGUCGCCCCCACUGCAGCGCUCCGCCGUGAAACAGGGCCCUAGUAACCGCUAUGCCAUACGCUAUAGAACCUGUCGUGCAAAGGUCACGGCGGCACCCCUGAGGCGGCCGCUGCCCGUAUCAUUAGGAACCCAUUGUCGUGACGUCAUGACUGUGAACAAAGGUCGCCGUAGGGGCUCUCCCGGUAGCCGGACGGUGACGCGUACGUUAAGCUUGUUUCUCGCCGCGCCUGCGGGCAUAUUGCUAGUACCUACUAGGGACGGCCAGCAUAUGACCGCGGCUUUCGGCGACAUUGUCAAUUCGUUUUCGACUCUGCUGUUCGUUGUACCUACUCGACGCAAGUCAAAUAUACAUAGAAAACGGC
This 8972-nucleotide long non-coding RNA is filed under the name Amphibalanus amphitrite. RNAcentral's name for it is "uncharacterized LOC122376306, transcript variant X1". Lineage: Eukaryota; Metazoa; Arthropoda; Thecostraca; Balanomorpha; Balanidae. The record is from RNAcentral.